This 229-nucleotide ribosomal RNA is filed under the name uncultured bacterium. RNAcentral's name for it is "partial 16S ribosomal RNA". It matches the Rfam family "Bacterial small subunit ribosomal RNA", at positions 568 to 796 of the family's 1533-position model. The record is from RNAcentral.
UCCGUAGGUGGAUAAUUAAGUCAGAGGUGAAAUCCUGCAGCUCAACUGUAGAACUGCCUUUGAUACUGGUUGUCUUGAGUUACAGUGAAGUAGAUAGAAUAUGUAGUGUAGCGGUGAAAUGCAUAGAUAUUACAUAGAAUACCGAUUGCGAAGGCAGUCUACUAACUGUAUACUGACGCUAAUGGACGAAAGCGUGGGGAGCGAACAGGAUUAGAUACCCUGGUAGUCC